UUGAAAGCCAGCAAUCUGGAAACCUGCAGAUAUGUCCUUCAACUGAAUGUUGACCCAUGUUUUAUGUAUUUAAAAAUAAUACCAGUCUCGGGUAUUGAAAAGUGUUUGUUUUGAUGGAAGACAGGGAAUACAACAGGAAGAGGCUAGUAGUAUUAAUUUUCAGUAUAGGUAAUAAACUAAUUAUCCUAAUUAUUAGCAAAAAUCGAAGCAAUUUAUUUCAUUUCCAUUUGACGACUUCAAAAUGAAAAAAAAAUAACGAAUAUAUAUAUAUAUAUCUCAUUCUGGAGACAUUCCAACAAUCUUAUUUCAGUUUGAUAAAUAAGGAUGGAAAAGGAGAUAAAGUGUAUGUUAGUUCCUAAAAGAAUCAGUGUGAAUGUCAACAUUAUAAUUGAAUCACUUAUUGACAAAUUUCAUUGUUUACCACUGCAGUGUGAACACAAGCUAAAGUGGAAAUUCCCACCUGAGGUGUCAGCAUCAUCAUCAUCAUCAUGGAAAACUAUCUGGAGUAUAAUUCUUGCUAAAGGGCCUGAGGAGAAUGAACUUCGAUGGGAAAAAGAAGAAUGGGAAAGAUGA
Molecule: long non-coding RNA, 573 nt
Filed under: Sarcophilus harrisii (Tasmanian devil)
Lineage: Eukaryota; Metazoa; Chordata; Mammalia; Dasyuromorphia; Dasyuridae
Description: lncRNA (ENSSHAG00000032260.1)
Source: RNAcentral